AUGCCGGCACUAGUCCAGUCUCCUUUUAGUGUUCGUGAGUGUUACACGCGUUUAUGGUAAGUUCAUUUCGUGAUUUCGGCUGUUAUCAUUGUGUGUUCAUCUACGUGCCUGUGAGAAAACCCCGUCUGAGCUGAUAUAUCAACCUGAAGUUCUUGGUGAAUUCUGUGCCAAAUCUUUACUCGAGGAUCAUCUUGUGGCUACCAACAGCGGCGUCCGUUUUGUCCAUGUCCUACCGACCGCAGUGCUUGCGGGAAAGAAAGGAUUUGGAGUAUAAGACACCCACUGCGGUGGAAACACACGCGAGAAUCGCCCGCCACGGCAUCAACCAAGGGACAUCUUCCAACCUGGUGGAGAGCAGCUGCGUUUCGACGGGAUACGACACCUUUAUAAUUUGUCACAUAUCUUGAAAUCACUUCUUGCGCCCACACUUUAUUUUUCAAACCAGUUCGAAUAAUGCGCACAGGGAAAAACACACAAAAAACUUCCCGAAUUUUACACCACAAACGCAUUCUUUUAAUUCACUUAUAAUUAGAAUUGUAUAUAUUUAGAGACCUUUGAAAUUUAAUUUGAUGAAUGCUAGUGGAAUAACAUGCAGUGUAAACUCUUUAUAACGAUGCUUUCUAAGAUUUGUUGAUUCAAGGACGGAUCAUACUCGUCCUGUUUAUUUGCCAUAAAACAAACCUUGUACAGAUUUCUACGUCAUUAUAAAAAAGGUUAUCAAGAGUUUACAUUGUAUUGCACAUUUAAGCGCCUCACGACUUACUGUAUCGUCUUAUUGCUUGUUGUUGCACUAGCGGGAGGAGUUUGCGAUUUAUUUGUUGGUAGUAAUGCGGAUAAGGGUACUUGGUAGUUGCUGCACUGUUGUCUAGCUUUAACUCGCGAAGGAGGCGCGUAUAAUGUUUGUAUUUUUUCGGGUUUGUGCGCGAUCUAGGCGGCUCACUAACUUCAGCGCGGCGUCUAGAGAUGCGGAAUUAAAUUCUCCAUCGGGCUGUAUUUGUUUGCUGCAGGAAUUCGAUCUGCAACCCGCGAAAAUAUGCACAAAAGCAUGACUUUUGUCAUUCUUUCUCGUGAAAUGUUAGUAUUUUUUCGUGUUUGCACGCGAUCUUAGCGACUCCGUAAUUUCAGCGUGACGUCUAGAGAUGCGGAAUUAAAUUCUCCGUCGGGUGGUAUUUGUUUGUUGCAGGAAUUCGACCUGCAACCCGCGAAAAUUUGCAAAAAAAGGGUGAUUUUCUCACCCUUUAUCGUGAAAUGUUUGUUUUUUCGUGUUUGCGCGCGAUCUUAGCGACUCCGUAAUUUCAGCGUGACGUCUAGAGAUGCGGAAUUAAAUUCUCCGUCGGGUGGUAUUUGUUUGUUGCAGGAAUUCGACCUGCAACCCGCGAAAAUUUGCAUAAAAAGGGUGAUUUUCUCACCCUUUAUCGUGAAAUGUUUUGUAUUUUUCGUGUUUGCACGCGAUCAUAGCGACACCGUAAUUUCAGCGUGACGUCUAGAGAUGCGGAAUUAAAUUCUCCGUCGGGUGGUAUUUGUUUGUUGCAGGAAUUCGACCUGCAACCCGCGAAAAUUUGCAUAAAAAGGGUGAUUUUAUCACCCUUUAUCGUGAAAUGUUUGUAUUUUUUCGUGUUUGCGCGCGAUCUGAGGGGCUCACUAACCUCAGCGCGGCGUCUAGAGAUGCGGAAUUAAAUUCUCCGUCGGGUGGUAUUUGUUUGUUGCAGGAAUUCGACCUGCAACCCGCGAAAAUUUGCAUAAAAAGGGUGAUUUUCUCACCCUUUAUCGUGAAAUGUUUUGUAUUUUUUCGUGUUUGCACGCGAUCUUAGCGACUCCGUAAUUUCAGCGUGACGUAUAGAGAUGCGGAAUUAAAUUCUCCGUCGGGUGGUAUUUGUUUGUUGCAGGAAUUCUACCUGCAACUCGCGAAAAUUUGCAUAAAAAGGGUGAUUUUCUCACCCUUUAUCGUGAAAUGUUUGUAUUUUUUCGUGUUUGCGCGCGAUCUAGGCGGCUCACUAACCUCAGCGCGGUGUCUAGAGAUGCGGAAUUAAAUUCUCCGUCGGGUGGUAUUUGUUUGUUGCAGGAAUUCGACCUGCAACCCGCGAAAAUUUGCAUGAAAAGGGUGAUUUUCUCACCCUUUAUCGUGAAAUGUUUGUAUUUUUUCGUGUUUGCGCGCGAUCUAGGCGUUUUUUCGGUAUAGGUCGGUAUUACCGACUCGGUAAGGGGACAGCUUAGAAUCUUCAGCGCGAUUUAUUGAGGAGUCGAAUUAAUUCUCGUCACGUUUGUUAUUUUUUUAACUAAAGCUUCAGCUGCAGUGCACGCAAUGGUAGAUUGUGUAUGUACGUGUCAUCCUGUCUCCCACAUUUCCUUUCUUUUGUGUCCUUUGUGUUAUCCAUGUAGAAUUUGAGAUCUAGUUUAAAUGUGUAUAUGACUUCUGUUGUUUUUCCUAUGUACUAAUCUGUAAGCUACUUGUGUUGUCUAUGUAAAAUUUGUUUUGUAUUAUUUUGUUCUUGUAAGUUUGUGGGGCAGAUCCAUGGUGCUGUAGUUGUUUGUGUUUUAAUGUUUGCUUGUACCUUGUGUGUGUGUUGUACGUAAAUUAAUAAAUGUCUGUGGUGUAGUAUCUAGAAAUAGUAGUUUGUGUUUAAAUAUUGUUGUCCGCGUCUUGUAAAUGUAAACAUGUUAUUUGUUACCUGUGUGUAGUAGAUGUAUUGUCUUGCAGUUGCCUUGUGUUUGGGUGUGCGACAUGUGCUUGUGAUGUCAGUGUAGCACUAGUUGUAACUUGUUGGUAUAUCUAUUGUGUUAUCCUUGCAGGUAUAGGAACCAGUAUUGCAACGGCAAUACUUGUAACAUGUAUUGCUAUAGCAAUACUAGUAACACUGUGUUGCCUAUGCAACACAGGUAGUAUGGUAUUGCUAUGGCAGUACAAGUAACAUGUCUUGCUGCUGCAAUACAGUAUGUAUAGGUAUCAAUAAAGAAGUCUUUUAAUAUA
Molecule: long non-coding RNA, 2968 nt
Organism: Dalotia coriaria
Lineage: Eukaryota; Metazoa; Arthropoda; Insecta; Coleoptera; Staphylinidae
Exons: 3
Source: RefSeq, a predicted model, not a curated record